RNAcentral lists this transfer RNA (72 nucleotides) under Stegodyphus mimosarum. It matches the Rfam family "tRNA". Rfam says of the family: Transfer RNA (tRNA) molecules are approximately 80 nucleotides in length. Their secondary structure includes four short double-helical elements and three loops (D, anti-codon, and T loops). Lineage: Eukaryota; Metazoa; Arthropoda; Arachnida; Araneae; Eresidae. The record is from Rfam by way of RNAcentral.
GCGUUCGUGGUGUAAUGGUAGCACACUCGGCACAUAUUCGAGAGGUCCGAGGUUCGAGUCCCAGGGAGGGCA